UGUCCCAAGGCAUUUAACUGGAAGUCCAAUUUAAUUCGCCACCAGAUGUCACAUGACAGUGGAAAGCACUAUGAAUGUGAAAACUGUGCCAAGCAGGUUUUCACGGACCCUAGCAACCUUCAGCGGCACAUUCGCUCUCAGCAUGUCGGUGCCCGGGCCCAUGCAUGCCCGGAGUGUGGCAAAACGUUUGCCACUUCGUCGGGCCUCAAACAACACAAGCACAUCCACAGCAGUGUGAAGCCCUUUAUCUGUAAGUUUUCAACACUCCAGCCCUCCUUCCCACAUCUGUCUCUUCCCCAAAAGGCACUGUGACCAGGAGAGUGGCUGCACAUGGCCUUUAGAGGGUCACCGUGUUAGCUAUUUAUGGUCCAAUCCAGUAGGGCUAUUUAUGAUUACAAGUAAAUCUUUUAUAAUCAGA
This 418-nucleotide long non-coding RNA is filed under the name Homo sapiens (human). RNAcentral's name for it is "non-protein coding lnc-ACTRT3-7:1". The record is from RNAcentral. Lineage: Eukaryota; Metazoa; Chordata; Mammalia; Primates; Hominidae.